GAGAAAUAGGUGUCCUGUUUCAUACACCCACAUGCAGAGAGCACAGCCAAUCAGGUGGAGCCAUUGGGUAUUGAGAAGAGAAGCAGGAGUAGAAGAAAGCCCUGGAAACAUUUCUUCCCUCCAGAAAUACAGAAAAUACCCAUUCUCUCCUCAACUCUACCCUCUUCCUGUGGCUUGGGUUGAACAUAACCUAAAUGAAACAUCUGUAGACAAGCUAUAUCCAUGAUUGCCCCAGGCCGAGAGCCAGAACUGGCAGAGCACACACAGACACGCGCCCAGCAUGUUGGGGAGGACGGCUCUGGCCCUCGACCAGUAGACAACUCUGCCAUCUAGUGGCUGCACCGGGCGGAAGAUGUUCAUCAUGGGCUUGCCGUUCCAAAAGCGACACUGCUGAGAUAUCGCCACCAGCUGGAAGAGGAGGAGGAGAAGAGGAAGACAUGCAGAAAGGAAUGAGCAAACAAUUGUCUGAAUAUCAUCGUGAAUUUGACAAAUGGUCAUCCCAUCAGGACUUCACUCAUCGGCCCCUAGGGGCGCCUAAGGGCCACCUGUUUGCUGCUGACGGGCAGGGUCUUGUGAAACACCGUCCAAGCUACUGCCUGCUCACAACCGGGCGUCGUCAUGGAGCCCACAUAGCGAUAGUAACUAUGGAGGUCCUUUGCAGGUGGGAUGAUGUCGGUCAGUCUGAAGUCUCGGAUCUCUGCUGAGCUGCCUGAAGGAGUAAGAAAAUGUCAGAUGCCUCUUAGUGCAGAGAACAAUGUAUUGGCAAUUUCAUGGGGAACAUCCAUCACUGUUAUUGGUCCCCAUGCACCACCAACUGUGCUCUGGGACCCAGAUGUAUGAUGAUACCGUUUUCAUGGAUGUGUCCCAUCGCAGCAAUCAGAGUGUUGAGGUGAGGAUGGUCGUCUAUUGACUCCUGUCAAUAGCCAAAGGGGCAUUUUAUUAAUCACAACAGCGUAUAUGCCGCCCAAAUAUGACACCAGGCAUAUUCUAAGCGGCCAGUCAUGUCUUAUUUCAGUAUCCAGGGAUGACGCCUGUACGAUCUGGAUUAGACGGGUACCAUCUGUAUUUUAUGUACCAGGGUGUAUGUGCCCAUUUUCAUUAAAAGUGCAGACCCAUAAAAGUGUAAUGAGAAUGAAUGAAU
Molecule: long non-coding RNA, 1141 nt
Organism: Gadus chalcogrammus (walleye pollock)
Lineage: Eukaryota; Metazoa; Chordata; Actinopteri; Gadiformes; Gadidae
Exons: 3
Source: RefSeq, a predicted model, not a curated record